GAAUAACAGUAUGGAGUCAGCUCUGCCUUCUCUUCCUGCCAAUCUGGCUCACCUCAGGACCAGGUGCAAAUUUCACGGGAGCAUCUAGCCUCUGAAAAACUCUUCAUAGUCGCUGCCAUUCUUUCCAGGAAAGAGAAGAAUGUGCAGUGAUGGACGACGUGUAUUUUUGUUGGUGUAUUUCUGCAUAUGUGUUUUGUUUACUCUCUUUUUUUUCCUUUUUUCUUUUUUUAAUUUGCUUUUCACCAAACUGGAGUGAGGGCUUGUGCUAGGUUUUGGACUCUGAUCUGCCUUUGAAGACUCUUCCAAAUGCAAAGACUUCAUGUUCCUUGUUUAUUAUGGAAAAAUAAACAAUGAAGAACUAGUGGAUGCUCUACCCAUAAUGGAAUAAACCAAGAAGGAGCAAGACUAAAGAUCAGAAAGCAGGUAAUCCAAAUCGAGAGAGACAAAAGAAAUGACCAGGAGGUACAGAGGGUCCAAGAUUAUAGUUGAGAAGAAGCUUUCAAACAGAGGAGAGCCAUUUCAGAUUGGACAAAAGCACCCCCUGCCCCCACCACCGGAAGGAUGCUUCCAGGGGAAAGACAGAUGAAGAAGAAAUGGAGAGAUUACCAGGAAAACUAAGGCUAACACAGUCACCGUUGGGCCAUUCUCUGCUUACACUGUAAGAAGUGGAAUUACCAGGGCACAAGCUGCACUGCUCAUAGCUGGCAUACUUCUCUAUGGAAUGCUGAGAAAAGGGAGAUAUGCAUUGCUUCUUGCCAACCUUUGCAAGCAAACUGAGAAAACUACGGGAGGCCCUCUUUAUUCAGGAUUCAGCUUAAUUUCUGUUGAGCCUGGAAAAGGGCUUGAUCCCUGAUGGCUUACACAAAGCAUGGAGAUGCACACUUGACUAUACACAGCUGCAGUAUCAUUUGGGUUCACAAGCUUGUCUUCUACACAAGAAAAUCUGCAUCCUUCAUACCAUCAUGUUAAGAAGUGUAAUUUGUGUUCCGGCCAGGGCAAUUAGGCAGGAGAAGGA
Molecule: long non-coding RNA, 1015 nt
Filed under: Homo sapiens (human)
Lineage: Eukaryota; Metazoa; Chordata; Mammalia; Primates; Hominidae
Description: HSALNT0402947
Source: RNAcentral